AUUGAACGCUGGCGGCAGGCCUAACACAUGCAAGUCGAGCGGAUGAAGGGAGCUUGCUCCUGGAUUCAGCGGCGGACGGGUGAGUAAUGCCUAGGAAUCUGCCUGGUAGUGGGGGAUAACGUCCGGAAACGGGCGCUAAUACCGCAUACGUCCUGAGGGAGAAAGUGGGGGAUCUUCGGACCUCACGCUAUCAGAUGAGCCGAGGUCGGAUUAGCUAGUUGGUGGGGUAAAGGCCUACCAAGGCGACGAUCCGUAACUGGUCUGAGAGGAUGAUCAGUCACACUGGAACUGAGACACGGUCCAGACUCCUACGGGAGGCAGCUGUGGGGAAUAUUGGACAAUGGGCGAAAGCCUGAUCCAGCCAUGCCGCGUGUGUGAAGAAGGUCUUCGGAUUGUAAAGCACUUUAAGUUGGGAGGAAGGGCAGUAAGUUAAUACCUUGCUGUUUUGACGUUACCAACAGAAUAAGCACCGGCUAACUUCGUG
This 484-nucleotide ribosomal RNA is filed under the name uncultured bacterium. RNAcentral's name for it is "partial 16S ribosomal RNA". It matches the Rfam family "Bacterial small subunit ribosomal RNA", at positions 30 to 507 of the family's 1533-position model. The record is from RNAcentral.